Mytilus californianus (California mussel) is the source of this 2676-nucleotide long non-coding RNA. RefSeq lists it as uncharacterized. The transcript has 2 exons. The record is from RefSeq and is a predicted model, not a curated record. NCBI's taxonomy places the organism in Eukaryota, Metazoa, Mollusca, Bivalvia, Mytilida, Mytilidae.
GAUCACUAUCCCUAUGUCGAGCUUUCUGCGACAAAAAGGAGUUCUUAAUUAAGAAAUAAACUGAUUCGCUGAGCGCAGCUGGAUACACCCGCAGAGGUCCAACCCUGAACAGUUGGGGCAAAAAUGGACACAAUAUUCAAGCUUGAUACAGGUCUGAAUUUGGAUUGUAAUUAAACAUUUGACAUAUUAUAGGUUUCUGAAUAAAUGUAGUCAAAGAACUUGAAAUUGGUUAUAUGAAUUGAAUUUAUAUUCAAUUAAAGAUUUCUUGCUGUUGUGCAAUACUUAGGUUAUCUGUUGUCAGACUAUAAACAAAUAAAGUUCAAUUAAUUCUCAAUGUCAUAUUAGAAAUUUAUGAAAAUAAAAAGGGAGCUUACAUCAAUAGAUAUAAACAAUUCACCAAAGUUUCCUGAGAAUUGGUGACAGCAUUUUUGAGUUAUUGUCCGAAAACUGGAAAAUCACCCCUUUUUUUAAUGAAUAAAACCCCAUAACUCAGAAAUGUAAAAUGUAAAAUUUAUAAAAUUCUAAAAGGAGCUUACAUCAAUACAUACAAACAAUUCACCAAAGUUUCAUAAGAAUUGCUGAAAGCAUUUUUGAGUUUUUGUCCGAAAACUGGAAAAUCCCCCCUUUUUUUAUGAAUAAAACCCUGUAACUCGGAAACGUAAAAUCUAAAAUUUAUAAAAAUCAGUAAACGGGCAUAUAAAAAUUCAGCAAUUUUUCUAUUUGUCAACACCCAUAACUCUAGAACGGUUGUGUAUAAAUUUUAUAACAUUUGGUUGAGACAAACUAAAAAAUUCAGCAAUUUUUAUGUUUAUAAAGGGACAUAACUCAAGAAUGGCAAAAGUGUCGCCUCCCAAUUUCGUACUUAAUCUGUAUUAUGUAGUAAUAAGCAUUGUGUAUAAGUUUCAUUAAAUUUGGUUGAGGCAAACUAAAGGUAGAAAACGGAAACAAAAAAUUUGUACUUGAUCUUAGUUUUGUGGUAAUGAAUAUUGUGUAUAGGUUUCAUAAUGUUUGGUUGGGGCAAACUUAAGUUACAGAAUGGAAACUAAAAAUUUUGCAAUCUUUCAAUUUAUAAAGGGGCAUAGACACUACCCAAAUUCAACUUGAUCUGUGUUUUAUCCGUGGAAGUCAAAAUUAAACAUUGCAUUGUAUAAAGCAUAGAUUGUAGUUGAUUCAACUAUAAUCAUGGACAAAGGAAGAUAACUCCAAUUUUAAAAAUAAAAAUGCUCCGCUGGGGCGCAGCUUGAUACGACCGCAGAGGUCGAACCCUGAACAGUUUAGGCAAGUAUGGACACAACAUUCAAGCUUGAUACAGCACUGAAUUUGGAUUGUAAUUAAAUAUUUGACACAGCAUAGGUUUCUGACACAGAAUGAAAGUGGUCUAAGAACUUAAAAUUUUUUAAUUUACCUAUUCAAACCAUAUCAUUAUUAUUUGUUUUUAUAUAUAAAUCAGAAAUAACCAAUUUAAAAUGGAAAAUUUUAAAGAAAAAAAGGAAAAAAAAAAUCCCCCCCCCCCCAAAUUUUUUGAACCCCCUUAUGAUUCAUCACCCUCAAACUCAAUCCCAGCCUUCCCUUUGUGGUAUGGUUCCUUGCAGUACAAUUUCAGAGAGAUCCAUACACUUGAACACAAGUUAUUGUCUGGAAACUAGAAAAAUGCUUGUUUUUUGGCCCCUUUUUGGCCCCAAAUUCCUAAACGUUUAGGGCAAUUACCCCCAAACUCAACCCCAGCUUUCCCUUUGUGAUAUGGAACCAUGCAGUACAAUUUCAUAAAGAUCCAUACACUUACACACAAGUUAUUGUCCUGAAACUAGAAAAAUGCUUGUUUUUUUGCCCUUUUAAUAGUUUUAUGGCCCCUAAUUACUAAAACUUUGAGGGAAUUACCCCCAAAAUCAAUCCAAGCCUUCCCUUUGUGAUAUGGUACCUUGCAGUAUAAUUUCAGAGAGAUCCAUACACUUGAACACAAGUUAUUGUCUGGAAACUAGAAAAAUGCUUAUUUUUGGCCCCUUGUUGGCCCCUUAUUCCUAAGCUUUUUGGGCAAUUACCCCCAAACUCAAUUCCAGCUUUCCCUUUGUGAUAUGGAACCUUGUAGUACAAUUUCAUAAAGAUCCAUACACUUACACACAAGUUAUUGUCAUGAAACAAGAAAAAUGCUUGUUUUUUGCCCCUAAUUCCUAAAAUUUGGAGGCAAUUACCUCCAAAAUCAAUCCCAGCCUUCCCUUUGUGAUAUGGAACCUUGUGAUACAAUGUCAGAGAGAUCCAUAGACCUACACACAAGUUAUUGUCAUGAAACUAGAAAAAUGCUUGUUUUUUGCCCCUUUUUUGCCCCUAAUUCCUAAAAUUUGGAGGCAAUUACCCCCAAAAUCAAUCCCAGCAUUCCCUUUGUGAUAUGGAACCUUGUGGUACAAUGUCAGAGAGAUCCAUACACUUACACACAAGUUAUGUCUGGAAGUUACAAAAAUGCUUAUUUUUGGCCCCUAAUUCCUUAACUGUUGGUACCAUAACCCCCAAAAUCAAUCCCCACCUUCCUUUUGUGGUAUUGUACCUUAUGGUAAAAUUUCAUUGAGAUCCAUUCACUUAAACUAAAGUUAGAGUGCGAAAACUAAUGUGUCUUCAGACGACAACAACGACACCAACGUCAUACCAAUAUACGACCACAAAAUUUUUUUGCGGUCGUAUAAU